This 72-nucleotide transfer RNA is filed under the name Marmota monax (woodchuck). RNAcentral describes it as "tRNA.Ala". Lineage: Eukaryota; Metazoa; Chordata; Mammalia; Rodentia; Sciuridae. The record is from RNAcentral.
GCUGGUUGUUGCUCAGUGGUAGAGCACUUGCCUAGCAUGUGUGAGGCACUGGGUUCUAUUCUCAGCACGGCA